RNAcentral lists this ribosomal RNA (395 nucleotides) under uncultured bacterium. RNAcentral describes it as "partial 16S ribosomal RNA". It matches the Rfam family "Bacterial small subunit ribosomal RNA", at positions 338 to 730 of the family's 1533-position model. The record is from RNAcentral.
CCUACGGGAUGCAGCAGUGAGGAAUAUUGGUCAAUGGACGGAAGUCUGAACCAGCCAUGCCGCGUGCAGGAAGACGGCUCUAUGAGUUGUAAACUGCUUUUGUACAAGGGUAAACCUGAAUACGUGUAUUCAGCUGAAAGUACUGUACGAAUAAGGAUCGGGUAACUCCGUGCCAGGAGCCGCGGUAAUACGGAGGAUCCAAGCGUUAUCCGGAUUUAUUGGGGUUAAAGGGUGGCGAGGCGGAGUGAUAAGUUAUAUGGGAAAUGUCCGAGCUUAACUCGCGAACUGCCACUAAUACUGGUGAUCUAGAGAGGAGAUGAGGUAGGCGGAAUGUAUGGUGUAGCGGUGAAAUGCUUAGAGAUCAUACAGAACACCGAUUGCGAAGGCAGCUUACC